Molecule: small RNA, 337 nt
Filed under: Histoplasma capsulatum var. duboisii H88
Lineage: Eukaryota; Fungi; Ascomycota; Eurotiomycetes; Onygenales; Ajellomycetaceae
Description: Histoplasma capsulatum H88 hypothetical RNA
Source: RNAcentral
UGACACUCCAGUUUUCAUGGAAGUAUGGAAAUAGGUAAUUUUAUGGGGUGUAGCUAGUUAGUUUCUGAUUCGCUUGACAACUAACACAGCGAUUUAGGAUGAGUUGUCCCUCCUUCAGGACGAGGACAAUUUCCUAAACAUGUUACCCCUCCUUUCUUACUCUCCAGACAGGAUUAGUUCUUGGCUUGCGCUUUUCCUACCUAGCUUGAAGCCAGGAAGGCUCCCUGGGGCUUGAGCCUUGCCCCUGCUAAUUGCAAGCUUGGACCCAAACCGGCCUGUUUAAUUAAGCGCCAGAGAUCUGGUGACGAGAGGGAGAAUCGAUGCACCGACAGUGACC